GACGGGUAGCCGGCCUGAGAGGGUGUCCGGCCACACUGGGACUGAGAUACGGCCCAGACUCCUACGGGAGGCAGCAGUGGGGAAUAUUGCACAAUGGGCGCAAGCCUGAUGCAGCGACGCCGCGUGGGGGAUGACGGCCUUCGGGUUGUAAACCUCUUUCACCAUCGACGAAGGUCCGGGUUCUCUCGGAUUGACGGUAGGUGGAGAAGAAGCACCGGCCAACUACGUGCCAGCAGCCGCGGUAAUACGUAGGGUGCGAGCGUUGUCCGGAAUUACUGGGCGUAAAGAGCUCGUAGGUGGUUUGUCGCGUUGUUCGUGAAAUCUCACGGCUUAACUGUGAGCGUGCGGGCGAUACGGGCAGACUAGAGUACUGCAGGGGAGACUGGAAUUCCUGGUGUAGCGGUGGAAUGCGCAGAUAUCAGGAGGAACACCGGUGGCGAAGGCGGGUCUCUGGGCAGUAACUGACGCUGAGGAGCGAAAGCGUGGGGAGCGAACAGGAUUAGAUACCCUGGUAGUCCACGCCGUAAACGGUGGGUACUA
This 540-nucleotide ribosomal RNA is filed under the name Mycobacterium tuberculosis. Its description in RNAcentral is "bacterial SSU rRNA". It matches the Rfam family "Bacterial small subunit ribosomal RNA", at positions 278 to 818 of the family's 1533-position model. The record is from RNAcentral. Lineage: Bacteria; Bacillati; Actinomycetota; Actinomycetes; Mycobacteriales; Mycobacteriaceae.